UGCAUGCUUAUUAACUUAAUUCAAAUAAUUUUUAACUAAUUUACUUAUAAAUCCAACUUAAUAAAUUUGUUUCAAAACUUAUUCCGGAAAUAACUUUUUUGUAAUACAUUUUAGCUUAAUUAUUACCUGCACCUUGACCUAACUUAUUUUAAAAAUAAAUUUAAAAGCAUAUUUUAAAAGAACUUUUUAAGAUGGAGGUAUACAAAGUUAAUAAAAUUAAGUAAAAUAAUCGUGGAUUAUCGAUUCAAAAACAUAUUCCUCUAUAAAGAAUAAGCACCGCCAAAUUCUUUAAGUUUCCUGAUCUUAGCAUUUACUACUUUAAAAUUUUAAAUUAAUUAAUUA
This 342-nucleotide ribosomal RNA is filed under the name Idatenopsocus orientalis. Its description in RNAcentral is "partial 12S ribosomal RNA". The record is from RNAcentral. Lineage: Eukaryota; Metazoa; Arthropoda; Insecta; Psocodea; Mesopsocidae.